Molecule: ribosomal RNA, 221 nt
Filed under: Triticum aestivum (bread wheat)
Lineage: Eukaryota; Viridiplantae; Streptophyta; Magnoliopsida; Poales; Poaceae
Description: partial small subunit ribosomal RNA
Source: RNAcentral
GUGGAUCGGGAAGUUGCCGACCAGGGAGGCGGGUCUGGACGUCACCGGCAAGGAUGGUGGCCCUCGAUGCCAGGGGCAGGGGUUGCUCGAUGACGAGGAUGGCCGCGUCCGACGCACAACUGGGGCCGCGACGGGGAUGGCAGCGUUCGCCGCGUCCGAUGCGGCCCGAUGUGAACCCGCAACUACUAACUGCUACUCUCUCUUUCUCACUUUCUUUGCUU